AUUGAACGCUGGCGGCAUGCCUUACACAUGCAAGUCGAACGGCAGCACGGGUGCUUGCACCUGGUGGCGAGUGGCGAACGGGUGAGUAAUACAUCGGAACAUGUCCUGUAGUGGGGGAUAGCCCGGCGAAAGCCGGAUUAAUACCGCAUACGAUCUACGGAUGAAAGCGGGGGACCUUCGGGCCUCGCGCUAUAGGGUUGGCCGAUGGCUGAUUAGCUAGUUGGUGGGGUAAAGGCCUACCAAGGCGACGAUCAGUAGCUGGUCUGAGAGGACGACCAGCCACACUGGGACUGAGACACGGCCCAGACGCCUACGGGAGGCAGCAGUGGGGAAUUUUGGACAAUGGGCGAAAGCCUGAUCCAGCAAUGCCGCGUGUGUGAAGAAGGCCUUCGGGUUGUAAAGCACUUUUGUCCGGAAAGAAAUCCUUGGCCCUAAUACGGUCGGGGGAUGACGGUACCGGAAGAAGAAGCACCGGCUAACUACGUG
Molecule: ribosomal RNA, 486 nt
Filed under: uncultured bacterium
Lineage: Bacteria
Description: partial 16S ribosomal RNA
Rfam family: Bacterial small subunit ribosomal RNA
Source: RNAcentral